ACCCCUGUAUUUGCUGACUUAAAUUUUGCUCUCCGAAGGCAGGGGUCGUGGGUUCGAAUCCCGCCUGGUGCACCA
Molecule: transfer RNA, 75 nt
Filed under: Pseudomonas syringae pv. tomato str. DC3000
Lineage: Bacteria; Pseudomonadati; Pseudomonadota; Gammaproteobacteria; Pseudomonadales; Pseudomonadaceae
Description: tRNA-Arg-CCG-2-1
Source: RNAcentral